GGUGGCUCAGUGGUAGAGUGCUUGCCUAGCAUGCAUGAGGCCCUGGGUUCGAUUCCCUGGCACCA
This 65-nucleotide transfer RNA is filed under the name Dipodomys ordii (Ord's kangaroo rat). It matches the Rfam family "tRNA". From Rfam's summary of the family: Transfer RNA (tRNA) molecules are approximately 80 nucleotides in length. The record is from Rfam by way of RNAcentral. Lineage: Eukaryota; Metazoa; Chordata; Mammalia; Rodentia; Heteromyidae.